RNAcentral lists this ribosomal RNA (239 nucleotides) under uncultured bacterium. RNAcentral describes it as "partial 16S ribosomal RNA". It matches the Rfam family "Bacterial small subunit ribosomal RNA", at positions 538 to 776 of the family's 1533-position model. The record is from RNAcentral.
GCGUUGUUCGGAAUUACUGGGCGUAAAGGGCUCGUAGGUGGCCAACUAAGUCAGACGUGAAAUCCCUCGGCUUAACCGGGGAACUGCGUCUGAUACUGGAUGGCUUGAGUUCGGGAGAGGGAUGCGGAAUUCCAGGUGUAGCGGUGAAAUGCGUAGAUAUCUGGAGGAACACCGGUGGCGAAGGCGGCAUCCUGGACCGAUACUGACGCUGAGGAGCGAAAGCGUGGGGAGCAAACAGG